GAUGAACGCUGGCGGCGUGCCUAAUACAUGCAAGUCGAGCGACCAGACGAGGAGCUUGCUCCUUUGCCGUUAGCGGCGGACGGGUGAGUAACAAGUGGGUAACCAACUUAUAUGUCUUGGAUGACUUCGGGAAACCGGAGCUAAUACCGCAUAAUAUUUCGUACCGCAUGGUUCGAUAGUGAAUGAUAGCUUUGCUAUUACUUUUAGCUGGACUUGCGGCGGAUUAGCUAGUUGGUGAGGUAACGGCUAACCAAGGCAACGUUCCGUAGCCGAGCUGAGAGGAUGAUCAGCCACACUGGAACUGAGACACGGUCCAGACUCCUACGGGAGGCAGCAGUGGGGAAUCUUCCACAAUGGGCGAAAGCCUGACGGAGCAACGCCGCGUGGGUGAUGAAGGUCUUCGGAUCGUAAAACUCUGUUAUUAGGGAAGAACAAACGUGGAAGUAACUGUGCACGUCUUGACGGUACCUAAACAGAAAGCCACGGCUAACUACGUG
RNAcentral lists this ribosomal RNA (497 nucleotides) under uncultured bacterium. Its description in RNAcentral is "partial 16S ribosomal RNA". It matches the Rfam family "Bacterial small subunit ribosomal RNA", at positions 28 to 507 of the family's 1533-position model. The record is from RNAcentral.